Molecule: ribosomal RNA, 471 nt
Filed under: uncultured bacterium
Lineage: Bacteria
Description: bacterial SSU rRNA
Rfam family: Bacterial small subunit ribosomal RNA
Source: RNAcentral
UGGGGAAUAUUGGACAAUGGGCGGAAGCCUGAUCCAGCAAUACCGCGUGUGUGAAGAAGGCCUUAGGGUUGUAAAGCACUUUCAAUAGGGAGGAAAAAGGUAAGCUUAAUACGUUUGCCCUUGACAUUACCUAUACAAGAAGCACCGGCUAACUCCGUGCCAGCAGCCGCGGUAAUACGGAGGGUGCAAGCGUUAAUCGGAAUUACUGGGCGUAAAGCGUGCGUAGGCGGCCUGUUAAGUCAGAUGUGAAAGCCCCGGGCUCAACCUGGGAACUGCAUUUGAAACUGGCAAGCUAGAGUUGGGUAGAGGGGAGUGGAAUUUCAGGUGUAGCGGUGAAAUGCGUAGAUAUCUGAAGGAACACCAGUGGCGAAGGCGACUCCCUGGACUCAAACUGACGCUGAGGCACGAAAGCGUGGGUAGCAAACAGGAUUAGAUACCCCCGUAGUCCCUGAGCGGGCUGGCAAGGCGCAU